CCGGCGACUGUUGCUGCGCACAAGCUGAAGCGGUGAUAAGGCCGACAAGUACCCAUCGAAAGCUGAGGUGGAGGGCCAGACAUCGGCCACGGCAGCAGAGUCCUUAUGUGUCNNNNNNNNNNUAUACGAUUGUAUAUACAAAAAUAAUAUCAGAUCAUGCAAAUCCGCCCCAACGGAAUCAAUCUCUCCGGGUUCGGCCUUCACAAGCGGGUCAGCCCCGGAGUGGAGAACAGAGGCGAGAGUGUCGAGAACGAGCCUAGCAUGGUCG
This 268-nucleotide unclassified non-coding RNA is filed under the name Hevea brasiliensis (rubber tree). Lineage: Eukaryota; Viridiplantae; Streptophyta; Magnoliopsida; Malpighiales; Euphorbiaceae. The record is from RNAcentral.